Long non-coding RNA from Boleophthalmus pectinirostris (great blue-spotted mudskipper), 2377 nucleotides. RefSeq lists it as uncharacterized. The record is from RefSeq and is a predicted model, not a curated record. Lineage: Eukaryota; Metazoa; Chordata; Actinopteri; Gobiiformes; Gobiidae. The transcript has 3 exons.
AUCUUGUGAAGAAGCUGGACAGCACAUAGAUACGUCAAAUUGUAAAGUGUUCUGGAGAGGAAGUUUUAUCUAGGUUUUGUUUGUUCUUGUUCUCCGGUUGGUUUUUUUGUUGACCCGAAUUGACCUGGGACUGUUCGCUGUGAGGCUGGAGUCACUGGAUCCAGGACCUGUGGACCUGCUGGACGCCUUGACGUCUCUUCUUGGUGGACCUGGCCUUCAUUGCAGUACAGCUGAAUUAAGCUAAGAUCUUGUGCACCAACGAAAGAAAGAAACAAAAAAUUCAUACUACCCGGGUAGAUGAGACACAAUAGUUUUUUUUCAGAGCACUGAACUUUUUAUUUUGAAAGGACAAAUUGUUGGACAAAAGGACUGAUUUAUGUAGGGGUAAGCUGGUAAUAUUUGGGGAAGAAUAUUGAUUCUGUUCAAUAAAUUUUACACACUUUUCUCAUUUCAACCUACAGUCUAAAUUUAUUACACCUUCUUUCCUCCUUUAGAACCUAGAUUCCUGGGUACACGUAUCAUUCAUAUCUUACUAGUUCGUUUGGUACAGGUUACAACAACACAUCAUUUUUGGGAGAUUUUCAAAAGAUCUAUCAAAUAUUGCUGUUUCAAUUCACAUAAACAUAAUAAACAAUCAUAUAAAUGUGAAGAGUACUCUGCUGAAGGCAAUCAAGAGCUGUAUAGUUGCAGACAGUGCUUUCAAACGAGAGAGAUCCAGUUGGAUUUAACUGUAUAAGAUAAUGUAAUGUAUAGGUUAAUUCAAGGCUGGGGGAAUGGUGGAUGUACACGUUUCCCAUGGUGCAGCUCUCACACAGACACACACAUGAACAAUACCUGUCCCAAUGUAAUUACACCAGAGAGCAUGAGUCAAAGGGCCACAGUCAAGCACCUGCUCUGGGCCAGCCUCACCUCACCAUCCAGGCCCCCCACACCCCCCUGCACCCACAAGCCAAUCUCCCAGUCACAACAUAUAGCGAGAGGGUAGUAUCAACAAAGUUAAAAGUGAAUGUCCUGAUUUUUUUACGAGGCCAUAAAUAAAGCAUAAUAAGCAAUUAUAGAUUUCCAGCUAAUUAUGUUUAAGAGUUUUUAAUUCAAUCAAAAUUAUAUUAGAGUCAUUCAACUUUGAGCAGUCCCUAUUCUCCACUCAAGACGUCAUUGCUUCAAAAAUUCCUGUUUUCCCUUACCCCUUUUACAUGCCCACUGCUCUGUACUUUAUUUUUUUAAACACUUAUACAGUAACAUAAAUAACCUGAGGUAGCAGUGAGAUCAUCUUUACCCAGCGUCAGAGGGUGACUAGUUCAAAUCCCGCCUGAGCGUAUACAGGGUACUUCUCCCAGUGUCUCUCCUGUCAAGACAUACAAGUUGCUUAGACAAAUAUUAUGAUGUGCAGUGUGAUCCCUUAAAGGUGCAGUAUGUAAACUUUCUGGUGGAAAAGUUACUCGUCUCCUUAGAGAGGUUGUUUGUGCUGAGAAUGUUCUAUCUUACAUUUUUCUUUCUCUGCAUAAAAAAUAAAGUGGCGCCGCCAAGACACAGGCAAUAAAACAGCAGUAAACUGUAAUCAAAUAAAUACAAGACAGAUAAGUUUAAUGCUAUUCUGCGGAACAAUCCAGGCAAAGCAAUAAUAUUCCUGAGACAAGCAGGUGCCCCUAAGAAAAAAAGCAAAUCAAAAGUUCAUGAAUAAACUUUGAGAAUAUUCUUUUCUUCAUCUAGCUCAGAAUAAAUUCCCUCCACAGAUGCUCAGUUGCUGUUGUAUGGGAACUGGGGGAGCGGGCAUUCACACAGGUAUCACAGCAGUGCACAAGACAGCAGAUGGACUCAGGCAAAAGCAAUGGUUAUAAAGGGAUGGCAACAUAUUUCCCAGAUGUAAUAAAUAUGUAUUGACUUAUAUGUGUUUGCACGCAUCUAAAUGGUCUGACGUGUCUGUACCUUAAAACCACAAGAGGGUGAAACAAGCCAAAACUUUUAACACUUCAUAUAUUAAUUAGCUGCUAGUACUAAUUGGAAGUGUGGUUUGUGUCAAAUGUGUUUUAUUUAAGAUAUAGAACAGGGUAAUUGAAGAUGUUGGAAAUUAAUUAACUUGUUUAUUAUUCUUCUGCCUAUGAGAGUGCAUUUCAUUUAGGCAAACUUGCUUGUUGUCGGAAUAAAACUUGUCAACGGCUUGUGUAAUAGCUACAGAAAAAUAUAUACAAGAGUUUCAGAAUUGUGAAAUAUUAUAACUUGUCUAAGAAGCUGACAUCCAUGAAUACAUAUUUUUGUUUUUGGUUUGUGUGGCUGUGUGAGGGUUAUAAGUGCACUAUGUAACUUUUGGGGGUCCAUCACGUCUUGUUUCUGUCAUGCUUCAAAUGUUCCACAAUAUGACAUUAAACAGAUUACCUUA